AUUGAACGCUGGCGGCAUGCCUUACACAUGCAAGUCGAACGGCAGCACGGGUGCUUGCACCUGGUGGCGAGUGGCGAACGGGUGAGUAAUACAUCGGAACAUGUCCUGUAGUGGGGGAUAGCCCGGCGAAAGCCGGAUUAAUACCGCAUACGAUCUACGGAUGAAAGCGGGGGACCUUCGGGCCUCGCGCUAUAGGGUUGGCCGAUGGCUGAUUAGCUAGUUGGUGGGGUAAAGGCCUACCAAGGCGACGAUCAGUAGCUGGUCUGAGAGGACGACCAGCUACACUGGGACUGAGACACGGCCCAGACUCCUACGGGAGGCAGCAGUGGGGAAUUUUGGACAAAGGGCGAAAGCCUGAUCCAGCAAUGCCGCGUGUGUGAAGAAGGCCUUCGGGUUGUAAAGCACUUUUGUCCGGAAAGAAAUCCUUGGCCCUAAUACGGUCGGGGGAUGACGGUACCGGAAGAAUAAGCACCGGCUAACUACGUG
Molecule: ribosomal RNA, 486 nt
Filed under: uncultured bacterium
Lineage: Bacteria
Description: partial 16S ribosomal RNA
Rfam family: Bacterial small subunit ribosomal RNA
Source: RNAcentral